Molecule: ribosomal RNA, 324 nt
Filed under: Triticum aestivum (bread wheat)
Lineage: Eukaryota; Viridiplantae; Streptophyta; Magnoliopsida; Poales; Poaceae
Description: partial small subunit ribosomal RNA
Source: RNAcentral
AUGGUACAGGAAAAGUACAACCAGCACCUUCAGCUUACCAAGGACUUUUGUGAAUCUGUUCAGAAGUCUGUGCACAAGGAGAAUUAUAGGAAAAUAAUGAUGGAUGUGGAUGAGGAGAAGAUAUCUCUAGAUGCAGCUGACAAGAUGAUCAACUUAGAGAAAGAGAUCUUUGAUCUGAAAAAGAAGGUUGAAGUGGCUGAAGAGGUUGCUGCUGAGCUCAAAAAGGAGAAGAAACAACUUGAAUAUAACUUACAUGACCUUUGGAAGGUUGGAGAGGAGAACAAGAGGAAGCUGAAGAUGAUGAAGGCAAUCUUGGAGGAGUGA